Molecule: ribosomal RNA, 252 nt
Filed under: uncultured bacterium
Lineage: Bacteria
Description: partial 16S ribosomal RNA
Rfam family: Bacterial small subunit ribosomal RNA
Source: RNAcentral
UACGUAGGGGGCUAGCGUUAUCCGGAAUUACUGGGCGUAAAGGGUGCGUAGGUGGUUUCUUAAGCCAGAGGUGAAAGGCUACGGCUCAACCGUAGUAAGCCUUUGAAACUGGGAAACUUGAGUGCAGGAGAGGAGAGUGGAAUUCCUAGUGUAGCGGUGAAAUGCGUAGAUAUUAGGAGGAACACCAGUUGCGAAGGCGGCUCUCUGGACUGUAACUGACACUGAGGCACGAAAGCGUGGGGAGCAAACAGG